UCACUGUUGGUCUAUCAUGACUUGGUGGC
RNAcentral lists this non-coding RNA (29 nucleotides) under Rattus norvegicus (Norway rat). Lineage: Eukaryota; Metazoa; Chordata; Mammalia; Rodentia; Muridae. The record is from RNAcentral.